AUGGAGGCGCGUUUCAUUAUCAGCAUUGGGCUGUUGAUUCACCUAGGUGCCGCGUUGGGUGACUCGGUCCACUCCAAGGACCCCCAAGUGUCCGGAAUAAAAGGAGACUCUGUGACCCUCAGCUGCUCUUACACUACCAGCUAUACCGGUUCCCUCUCUCUCUACUGGUACCGCCAGUAUCCCAACCAAGCCCCGCAGUACAUUCUCCAGAAAGGCGCUAAGGGAAGCAGCUCUACCGGCUACGUGUAUCUCUUCUGGUACCGUCAGUUUCCCGGCCGAGCCCCGCAGUACAUUCUCUUCAGAGGAGUGAAGCAGGCCAGAGGUCAGAGCAAUACUGCAGAAUUCGCCCAGAAGAGGUUUUCUUCCCAGGCUGAUGACAGCUCCACAGUUCUGAACAUCACAGCCCUGGAGCUGACAGACACAGCGGUGUAUCUCUGCGCACUUCAGCGGGCACAGUGA
Chrysemys picta bellii (western painted turtle) is the source of this 459-nucleotide non-coding RNA. The record is from the annotation of a RefSeq genome assembly. Lineage: Eukaryota; Metazoa; Chordata; Testudines; Emydidae.